Poecilia latipinna (sailfin molly) is the source of this 3980-nucleotide RNA transcript. It is a transcript of the gene named MAGUK p55 subfamily member 4-like, with no coding region annotated. The record is from RefSeq and is a predicted model, not a curated record. The transcript is spliced from 8 exons. Lineage: Eukaryota; Metazoa; Chordata; Actinopteri; Cyprinodontiformes; Poeciliidae.
CUGGUUAAGACCUAAUCUGGUAUCAGGUUAGGUUAAUAGAUUAUGUAAACAAAGGUCCUCACAAAGAACAGUGUGUGGGUUUGUGUGUCUGUGGCUAAAAGCGGCGACCGACUAAGAAGCUUUGUGAUCCGCUGAGCUACAUAGAAUGAGUAAAACAGGAAGGAAAGGACAAAAUAUAUUUUAAAAAUUUCUUGACAACACAAAAAUGUAAAAGAAGGCUAGGAAAAUGGAUUGAGUUCUUUACAAAAGAAAACCAGGAAAAGAUUUGUGAAUUUCAGCGAGAAAGCGGGAUGAAGUGGAGGCAGAGAGGGAGAGGUUGGUAGAUUAAGCUGGGUUAGAGAGGAUUAGUGUCAGGUUGGGUUUGGUUGUAAACUAACCUCCAUGUCAGUCACUUUUGGCUGCGGCUGACAUGCUCACACUGCUGAUUCACUCCGUCUCAAAGAUCAAACCUUGAAUCAACACGCUCAGGGAACCCAAACCAAAGGGAGAAAGGUACUUUGAUGCUGUUGUCUGUGAGCUGACCACAUGUAAGUACGUUUUUUUUUAUGCGCUUAAAUGCACAGAUGAGACAAAUACAAGCUAAACUGAUUAACAUUAGACCUAAAGUCUACUGCAGCUGUAUUAAUGUUGAAUAGUGUACACAAAUGUAGUUGUUUUUUUUAAAUAAAAUUAAGCAUUUAUUGUCUUUCUCAAUAGAUGAAAUGCCAAUGAAUUGUUUAAUUCAGUGUAUUUUACACAAAUGUGAUCUCAAGGCACUUUACAAGGCAAAUGGAUCCACCUUAUAGCCAGAAAUAUAUAAACAAAUCAAUCCAGUCAGGUAGAUGGGUUGGCUAAUAACGAUUGAUGCAAUAUUGUCAAAAGAAGCCCACCUGAUGGGGUCAGUGGCUUGGGAGUGACCCCUUCUUCUAAACAAACAUGUUUAGAGCACGUUUCUAGAAAAUGUAGAAUAACCUGAUAAAUUAGCAUAAAGCAGUGAUUUUCUCGUCCUUUUCCAGGCCUUUCAAAAGCCCCACUAUAUUUUUUGUUAAAUACCAUCAAUCAAACUUCAAAUCACUGCUUGUUUUUAUUUAACCUAAGUAGGGAGGCCCAGACUUUCCUCUUCCCAGCCACUUUGGCCAGCUCUUCAGAGGCAGCCCCAAGACGUUCCCAGGCCAAAUUGGAAACAUAGUUCCUCCAGCGUCUCCUAGGUCUUCCUGUGGGUCUCCUCUUCGUUGGACGUGCCCAUAACACCUCAACUUGGAGGCAUCCUAACCGGAUGCCUGAGCCACCUCAGUUGAUUCCUCUCGACAUGGAGGAGCGGUGGCUCUACUCUGAGUCCCUCCUGAAGGACCAAGCUUCUCACCUGUUCUGUCAGUCACCACCCAAAGUUCAUGACUGCAGAUUAGGACAGGAACGUAGAUCGACCGGUAAAUCGAGAGCUUUGCCUUUUGACUCAGCUUUCCCUUCACUUCAACAGACCGGUACAGACACUGCUCCAAUCUGCCUAUCAAUCUCCCGCUCCUUUUCUCCCUCAUCCGUGAACAAGACCCUGAGAUACUUAAACUCCUCCACUUGAGAACAUGAUUAUACGUGCUUGUUUUACCACAGAUACUGAAAGUGAUAAGUAUUAAGGCCAGCAGCUGCCUUCGGUCUGCCCACCUUAAUUUGAGCUGCUUUAGUCUAUUACAGAAAGCUCAGAUGAGCCAUCUGUCAACAGCUCCAGCCACAAACUGAAAUCAAAACCAGCGACCAGAGUGAUAUCGGUAAAGUAUUGACAAAAAAAACAUUGAUUAGGCUGUAGGACUGUCGAGCUGCUUCACAUCAAUUUCUUGACCUCACAAACAGCAUUAAUAGCAUAUCAUAAACAAUAUGAUACCUAUUUAACAUGUGAUGUGUAAAUACAUAGUUUUAAGUUUGUAUUAUAAACAAAUAUGCUGACUACCUAGGGCAUAUUCAACUUGCUCAGUAAUAUUUCUCUGUAAUGACGUUGUAAUGUAUUUUGUCUGGUUUCCUUACAGGAGAAAUAGCAAUUAAUUCCUCUAUGGUGGUUCUGGAUGAUCACCAUGAGAGAAACUAUGGAGGAUGGGGUCAGUGAAGUAUUAUCCAGCGUUGUGGAGGAUGUUAGUGAAGCCGUCAACAGAAACAUUAGUGGCUCUCAGCUUCUGCAUGAACUACUGAGCGCUCCAUGGCUCCGCGCCUUACUAAAGAUUUACGAGUGCCUGAUGCAGUUCCAGAGAUUGUCACCAAGUCCCCUUCUACCUUGUGCCUCUGGACUCUUAUUUGAGAUCAUGGCCAUCAUACAAAGAGCGCACCGUCCUUCAGCUGAAGCUCGUGAGCUCUACAACCUCCUCAGCUCACCACAUGUCCAGGCCCUCCUAUCAUCUCACGACAGCGUGGCGCAGUCAGACUAUUUACCCGUCCUUUCUCCCCUGCCUGAUGAGUUACCUGAGGACGAGGAGGCCAUGAGGAUCGUUUGUCUUGUAAAGAAUAACCAACCUCUGCGUGAAAAGGGAUACAGAAGUUCUGAAGACCGGGUCGGAGUGUGCCGUAGCCAUUGGAGCAGCCUUCGUCGACUCACGUUGGAGCGCCUCAUCCCCGCCAGGAGGGCGUGGUCUGGGGAGGAGCUCAGAAUGGCCGAGAGCGAGGCCAGGCCUCUGCCUCUCCAUGGAAAUCUGCCCUGCCACUUUGUUCCCCGUUACGAGUCGAUGGGAAGUUGUCGUUUAUGUCCACAAAACGCAGAACUUUUGAAGCAAGGGCUCAACCACUCAGCUCCGGCUGUCUUGAAUCCAGAAACAUGUUCUGAGAGACUCAUGCCCAACAAAGAGGACGAUGCCUCUAGCGGAGGGAGCAGUGACGACUAUUCUUACCCUCCCCCUCCAAUCUCGGCCUACACUGUCAGUCUUCCCAACUCUCCCCUUAUGUACAAAAAGGUUGCUCCAGGAGGUGAAUCAAGGAGCAUUCCUACUCCUUGUAGGGUCCACACAGCACCAGUCAUUCCUGCUACUCAACCUUCUAUGAGGCAACAAGGAGUCAGCACUCUCCCAAAUCCUGUGAGGCAUUGUCAAAAAGAGUCUUUAAGACCUUCGUGUAUUAUCAACUCUUCUCCACAUCAUGACAAACCACAGCAGCAACCACAGAAACAUCAUCAACCUCCUGAGUUUGACAAAAUCUGCAGCAUGGAGGAGCUCAGGACCACGGUUCAGACUGUGGCCAGCAGUAUCGAACACAGUAGCCAGGAUGUACGCCACCUGGAACAGAAAAUGGUGGCGGCGACAGAAAUGAUCACGGAUCGCGUCGAAGAAAACGUCCAGGCCCUCAAUCUUCUUGCCGAGGUGGUCGAUAAGCUUCAGGGGAUCAUCGUGGCCAGAAACCACCCCGAGACGUCUCCACCAUGCAGGCCGAACCCGAACCAGCGGCCCACACUGCCGCCAAGAGUCUCCUCGUUAUCUCCGGUGAUGAUCCACAAACCUCCCACGCCUUAUCCACGGCUGCUCUCGCACUCCUCUGCUUCCUCCAGCUUUUCCUCCUCCUCCUCUUCUUCUUCUGCUGGUUCCUGUGCAGAUGGUUUUGCAGGAUACCACAGCCCACAGGGAUUGCACGGAGGAAAUAAAUCCAGCAAGCGAUCAGAUGGUGCAGACCAUAACGGACAUGCUCGAUUCCACAAUGGAGCGGUCACAAGAGCGCAACAGGAAGACAAGCAGGACUGCAAUAUCACAGGCUGCUUGACAACGAGCAAGAAGAAGAAAAAUAAGCAGCUACUUUAGAGAUAACGUCUGCAUCAUCAUUAGAAACAGACUAAAACUGAUUUACCAGGCCUUUUCUUACAAAUUCAUAUAGACUUUUUCAUGGGACAAAUUCAGACACAGUUUUGCAUUUUAGUGGAUCAGCCAAAGGAGAUAAAAGGAAAUUAAAUGAAAGGGAGCGACUAUAAGGAGGGACGAGGUGACAGGAGACAUCUACAUUGCCCGAGUGAUUCAUGGAGGACUGGCAGACCGCAGUGG